Molecule: ribosomal RNA, 810 nt
Filed under: uncultured Pseudomonadota bacterium
Lineage: Bacteria; Pseudomonadati; Pseudomonadota
Description: bacterial SSU rRNA
Rfam family: Bacterial small subunit ribosomal RNA
Source: RNAcentral
AAAGUCCCGCAAGGGAUUAGUAGAGUGGCAAACGGGUGAGUAACACGUGGGUGACCUGCCUCCGAGUGGGGGAUAACGUCCCGAAAGGGACGCUAAUACCGCAUAACAUCCCGCCUUUUAACAGGUGGAGAUCAAAGCUGGGGAUCGCAAGACCUAGCGCUUGAAGAGGGGCCCGCGCCUGAUUAGCUAGUUGGUGGGGUAAUGGCUCACCAAGGCAACGAUCAGUAUCCGGCCUGAGAGGGCGGACGGACAUACUGGGACUGAGACACGGCCCAGACUCCUACGGGAGGCAGCAGUGGGGAAUUGUUCGCAAUGGGCGCAAGCCUGACGACGCAACGCCGCGUGGAGGAUGAAGACCUUCGGGUCGUAAACUCCUUUCGAUCGAGACGAAUGGCCUCAGGAUGAACAAUCCGGAGGAGUGACGGUACCGAGAGAAGAAGCCCCGGCUAACUCCGUGCCAGCAGCCGCGGUAAUACGGGGGGGGCAAGCGUUGUUCGGAAUUACUGGGCGUAAAGGGCUCGUAGGUGGCCAACUAAGUCAGACGUGAAAUCCCUCGGCUUAACCGGGGAACUGCGUCUGAUACUGGAUGGCUUGAGUUUGGGAGAGGGACGCGGAAUUCCAGGUGUAGCGGUGAAAUGCGUAGAUAUCUGGAGGAACACCGGUGGCGAAGGCGGCGUCCUGGACCAACACUGACACUGAUGAGCGAAAGCCAGGGGAGCAAACGGGAUUAGAUACCCCGGUAGUCCUGGCCCUAAACGAUGAAUGCUUGGUGUGGCGGGUAUCGAUCCCUGCCGUGCCGAAGCUAACGCA